AACUGUGAUCAAUUUUUGUAAAUAGUAGUGAUUUACAAUCGUAAUGGUGUUCAGUAAUUUGAGUGCGAUCACAGUACAUAUAGGAGUUCAGUAAAUAUAAUUCGAUCUCUGUUGCAAUAGCAGUUCAGUAUUUCUAAUUCGAUCACUGUAUCAAUAGCAAUUCGAAAAGUAGCAAUCACAGUUCAGUGCUCACGGUAGCAAUUUUAGUUGAGAUAUCGAUAAUUUUGGUUACGGCGAUUACAAAAGCAGUUAAAUGUACUCAUAGUUUAUUAAUUAAGUGAUUGUGAUUUCAAAUGCAGCGAUAUCUCCCCCAAUUCCGAAUCAACUAACAAUGGAUCAUUAACCCAACCGGGUAAAAACUCUCGACCACCGUCUUCAACGUCAUCACCAGGUGGUAGUCCAAUAUCGUCAUCCUUAUUAAAAUAGAAUAAUUAUUUAUGUAACCUUAUACAUAUAUAAUAUCUACGAGAGUUUUAUAAGGACACUACCUUCUUCACUGUCACUUCUCUUGUACCCCAUGAGACAUCAUUCAUGUUGAAGACUGAGUAGAUAAGUAGGAGCAUGUACAUGGAAGGAAUGGUGAUAUAAUAGAUGAAACCACAUAUUAACGCACCGACUUCUUGAGGAUGUACUAUGCCUAGAAAGAGAAAAUGUAAAUAAAUUGUUAUGCAAUUUGUUGGUGACUCGAAUACCCGCAAUAAAAAUUUGCAGAAAAACCAGAAGAAAGAACAAAGAGGCGGGUGCCAAAGGUCCAUCGUCUAUCAUUUGUAUGAUUAUGCCAAUCAAUACAGCCAUCAUUACCAGACAAUACAAGGAACUUAUUACGAAGGCAAGCAAAAGCUAAAAUUGAAAGUAAGAAAUAAUUAAGAAUUCGUAAUAAAUAGUGAAUAUCUAUUAUAUUUUUAUCCAUGUACCUGAAACUUUUGUUUUAAAUAAAUGCAAGACAAAAUAAAGCAAAGCACUGGAAUGAAGUUCCACAAGAACGAGCUCCAAAUACUUGUAUUGAACACAGCUACUAGCGCACCCACCAUCAUUAAGAAAAUGGUGCCUGGACCCAAAAUUGUACCAACCAUUAGCAUUGCCUGAUAAGCAAUGUAUGGCGUUGAAAUUGAACUAUUAUUCUUCACUACCAUAUCCGCAUCAGAGAGUAAGUCAAAUAUGUUGGCAAUUGUAGAGGGAACCCAACGGCGUCGUUGAUUAUAGAAUUCAUUGAACAUUUCCGGUGAAUGAGUGUAAGCGUCCGAUGCAGCUGAAUAUUCUACACGUAAGCCUUGUUUUAAAAUCAAUGUACAUAACCAACGAUCUUCUCCUUGAUCGUACUGCACAUAAUGCAUGGGUUCGCUGGAUACCGUAGUGUACUUUUUCAUUACGCUAUUCUCCAUUAGUGCACUGCCACGAAAUAAACUAAAGCAACCGGGGCUACAGAGCACACAUCCAAUUACGUGUUCCGUAGCUUUCUGCAGCCAAUGACCUAUCGCAUAUUCAAAUAUUUGAUACCAGACCAUAGGUCCUCGACCGACGGGAUGUAUACGUCCGCAGGCAGCGCCCAAUUCGUCUAUGGCUUUCAUGCGAUCAAUCAAAAGCUGUACCGCUUGUGGCUGAAAGUCAAUAUCGCCAUCCAGUGCCAAAAGAAAUGUGUUCUCAGCAAUAACCGCUUUUCGUCGAGCAGAUACACCUUCAAGUUCCAUAAUGCGGAAACCAAAUGAGCUAUCAUUUUUGAGCGGCCUGGUAAUGUCCACACAAGGCGACCACCAUAAGGUGUUUCGGUCUUUACUGGAGACUUAAUCUUCAUGUUGACACCAUAAACCUCGAAGCAUGCCUUCUCUAUGCUGACAAUUAAAG
This is a long non-coding RNA of Zeugodacus cucurbitae (melon fly), 1842 nucleotides long. RefSeq lists it as uncharacterized. The transcript is spliced from 3 exons. Lineage: Eukaryota; Metazoa; Arthropoda; Insecta; Diptera; Tephritidae. The record is from RefSeq and is a predicted model, not a curated record.